Molecule: long non-coding RNA, 614 nt
Organism: Alosa alosa (allis shad)
Lineage: Eukaryota; Metazoa; Chordata; Actinopteri; Clupeiformes; Clupeidae
Exons: 2
Source: RefSeq, a predicted model, not a curated record
UAUCAGUUAUCCAUCCCUGGCUACUUCACCACCUCUACCUGUGAAGUCAAAACACCUUAGUGUCACAAUUGAUUCUACAGUUUCCUUUGACUCUCACAUCAAAUACAUCACUCAAAGCCCAACAUAAUCUUGCACCCUCUUAUCUUUCAAGCCUCCUGACCCCUUACCUACCUACCCGCACCUUACGCUCCACUGAUGCCCACCUCCUAUCCACCCCACUGCACAUCUCCAUUCCAUGGGUGACAGGGCUUUUAGCGUGGCUGGCCCCAAACUCUGGAACUCCCUUCCACUCCCACAAACUCUGUGAUUAAUUAAUCUAAAUCAAUCACAUGCAUCCAUUUUUGCUAUGAACAUAUCUUUAAAACAAUUUUUGUCAGAUGAGUGAAUCAAUGAAGAGCCAAACCAUCUUUAUAAACUUUAAAGUUCAACUUCUCUCUUUUAUGAUCAUUUUCCCUUUGGCUCAGGCAUCAGUAGUUCCUGGUGUCAGAUUUUUAGUAUGAUGCAAAUGACUGAAGCUACAAAUCACUGUCAAUGGCAUGUGCAGAGUAAGCUACCCUAACACCAAGUAGGUGGCAGUCAAAGAUAAGAAAACGCAGGGCUCUAAGAAAACGAGA